This 2308-nucleotide long non-coding RNA is filed under the name Homo sapiens (human). RNAcentral's name for it is "HSALNT0138529". Lineage: Eukaryota; Metazoa; Chordata; Mammalia; Primates; Hominidae. The record is from RNAcentral.
AGCCCGUUUGGGUUUGUCGUGGAUUUCCAUACAAGACAGACAUUUUCUUAAGUUUCCAGAUUCUUCAUUUACAAACACUUGUCUAAUAUUUUAAGCUUCCCACACGGCAGCAGACAUUUCCUUAUUUUGCUUCUCGGAAGUACUUGGGAAAAGAUAACCCAAAAGAUACUUCUAAGUGAAGCCCGUCCUUGCUGGUUGACCUCAGGAAACCAUGGGAAGUGUGUGGCCAUCUCUGCAAGGAUGCUGGGUGUGAAAAGGUGAGGGGACUUCAACUGAUAUCCACCGUCCCAUGUCCUUGUGGAGCUUUGAAUAACACUUACUUAGCACCAUUCUUCGGAUGCAAGGAAGGAAAAGGAGAGAGCUCCUUCGAGUGGGAGAAGUGGAUGUAAGGGGCAUUUUAUGAUGCCUUGGUGAGGAGGGCAAAUCAAGAAAGUCCCCUGGAGCUGCUGAGUUCCUUCAAGAUUUGGUAAGUCUGCAGAUGAGGCCUGCGGGUGGAGCGGGCGCCUAAGCUGCGGAUCACUCCUGCGGGCGCUCGCUCUCUCCACGCCGCCGCCCGCGCGCCCGCGGCAGCCACGAGCGUCCCGGGCGGGGAAACGCGUUGCCUCCCGGCGGCGCCUAUUACUAGCAGCUGCUUCUGCUUAGCCCUUCGAGGAUCGGUUUGCCCCAACCCACGGCCUCUCCCAGGGUUCGGUCUUCUCCCGCCCCUCCCUCCCUUCCCCGCCUCUCCCCCAAGCUCCUCAGUGGCCGCGGCCCGUCAACACUGUGAGAUGUGAUGAAACCAAGCCUCAGAACAUUUUUUAAUGUUGAUAGAGCAGGCUUGAAAAAACUUGUCAUAUAAAUCAAACUGUUCUGGGGGCAAACUCGUGUUGUUUUUAAACCACAGAGUGGGUCAAUGGGUGUGGUUAUGCACAUGGUUGAAUGGUGAAUGUAUAGAUUAAAAUAUAUUUUGCCACACUAGUUUCCAGAGGAUUGUUUUGGCCUGGUGUUUCAAGCUAUGAGCCAAAACUUUGGUCAGUAUUUUGACAACAGAGCCAGGAAAAACAAAAAGGCUUAGCCUGUGAAAAAGAAAUGAAGAUGUAGUGAAGGAAAACAGUAGUCCCUCUGCCACUGCCUUACUCAAUCCAUAUGUGGGCUUAAACACAGGAAAUACCCACCAUUCACCGCAAUCAAGCCAGAGGCUUGUGCAUCAGAAAGUGCCUUGUGGAACUAAUUGGACUCUAUUAAGAUUGUCAUUGACAUAGGAAAGCAUUUUGAAAUUUUAAAUCAGAACAUUCAAUGUACAUAGAAAAAGAUAACAGUCACAUUGUUGACUCAGGACUACAAAUAUAGGCAUAAUACACACACAAACAUGCAAGAUUUGUAUGCUUUAUUCAGUGAUGUACUGUAUUAAUUACCAGGAGCAUGUUUGUCUUCUUUCACUUUAUGUGUUUGCCUUGAAUCUAUAACCUUUCCAGAAUGUUCUGGAGCCACCUCACAAGGCACCAGAGAAAAUCCAAGCAUUGCCAAUUUAAAAUGAUAAUCAACAAACUUGCCAUAAGAGCAAAGUUUAUAGGAAAAAAACCAUAGUUUGAAAUAAUGGAACUCACAGAGAACUUUUUCACACAUGAUAUUGGACAAAAGUACAUAUAGUGUAAGUAUUCAUGGAUACACACAAAUCUAACUCUGGCAACAAAUCUUUGGCAAAGAGUUGGAUUUAACAUUUCAAUUACACUUAUCUUUAAAAAUUACCUAAACAUGGCUUAUAGCUGGGAGCUUACCCUCCCUUUGUUCUGGCUGUGGUCCAUUGUAUUUUUAUUAUACUUCCAGGACGUUCAUUGGGGUCAUACAUGCUUAGCUCUGACAACUCUCUCAAUGUUAGGGUUGCCAAUUACAUUUGCUUCAUAGAUAAGGUUAAUGUGUUGCUAAUAUUCUUAGGUCUAAAAUCUGUAUUUGGUUUGUUUUGUAAAAAUAUGAGUUCCCACUAUUAUGAGGAAUAUGCUGUAUCUUAUCUGCCUAAAAAUUUUGGACGGUACUAUACUGUAUAGUCAUUUAAGUUUUCUUUUAUAUAAAAGCUGACAAUAACCAUAACCACAGUCUAUAUUAGAAGAUAACUAAGAUGAAUACAGACAAGAUGAUCUUGGAAGAUAACUAAGAUGAAUACAGACAAGAUGAUCUCUCACCAAAUUUCUCAGUCUAACUUUUGCUGCCAUUUUUUAGUAGUAAGCUUCUUUACUUUGUUAGCUUCAAAAUGUCUUCUUUGUCAUGGGUCACUUGCAGUGUAGUUCAGCAUUUCUCCAAUUUCAAAAACAAAAUGAUUGCAACUGGGGAG